AUUGAACGCUGGCGGCAUGCCUUACACAUGCAAGUCGAACGGUAACAGGUCUUCGGAUGCUGACGAGUGGCGAACGGGUGAGUAAUACAUCGGAACGUGCCCGAUCGUGGGGGAUAACGAAGCGAAAGCUUUGCUAAUACCGCAUACGAUCUACGGAUGAAAGCAGGGGACCGCAAGGCCUUGCGCGAACGGAGCGGCCGAAUGGCAGAUUAGGAGUUGGUGGGAUAAAAGCUUACCAAGCCGACGAUCUGUAGCUGGUCUGAGAGGACGACCAGCCACACUGGGACUGAGACACGGCCCAGACUCCUACGGGAGGCAGCAGUGGGGAAUUUUGGACAAUGGGCGAAAGCCUGAUCCAGCCAUGCCGCGUGCAGGAUGAAGGCCUU
Molecule: ribosomal RNA, 386 nt
Filed under: uncultured bacterium
Lineage: Bacteria
Description: bacterial SSU rRNA
Rfam family: Bacterial small subunit ribosomal RNA
Source: RNAcentral